Molecule: long non-coding RNA, 947 nt
Organism: Sycon ciliatum
Lineage: Eukaryota; Metazoa; Porifera; Calcarea; Leucosolenida; Sycettidae
Exons: 3
Source: RefSeq, a predicted model, not a curated record
CCACCUCCCAUUUCUCAUCACUAAUAUGCUUUGAUAAAGUGAAUAAACGGGGUGUUGGCCACGCUCAUUUACGGCUACUCAGGGCCUCGGUCGCCGUCCCUCGGACGCAGACUCUUGUAGAUUCUUGGCUCCGCCAACAUUCUGCUCCGGCAGUGUCUAUCCGGCCGACCCUGAAUCCUCUCUCGUAGAUACUUGGCUCCGCCAACAUUCUGCUCCGACAGUGUCUACGUUUUUCUUUCCGUAGCCUCUCACUUUGUGGUCGGCACUCCCCCGUACCGCAAGUUGCUGUGUGUUGUAGUGAAUAUGCGUGUGCGUGUGCGUGCGUGUGCGUGUGUGUAUGUGCGAGCAUGCAAGUGUCUGUGUGUUUGUGUGUUGUCUGUUUCGGUUUGUGUGUUUGUGUGUACGUGUGUUUGAGCAUGAUAGCAUGUGUGUAUUUUUAUCUGUGUGUUUUGUUUGUUUGCGUGUUUUGUGUGUGUAUGUGUGUAUAUGUGUGCGUAUGUAUCUGUAUGCGUGUGUGUGUGUGUGUGAGAGCAUGUCACCGUGUGCGUGUGUGCAUGCAUGUACGUACGUAUCUGUGUGCUUGUGUGUGCGUGCGUGCGCAUUUGUGCUUGAAUACUCAGGCUCUUCUGAUGCUGGCAGCAUGCUUCUGUGGCAGCAUUCAUUGUGUCCAGUUUUUACUCUGGUGUGAUCCGUCGCUCUUGAAUGGCAAAGUUAUGUUCAGUCCCUUUAGUGAGACACGAAGGUACUGCCAACUAGCAUCACUUCUACAUGUCUGCGCGGCCCGUGGACAUAAAGCACUGUGUGAGCUGCUGAUGAGAAAAGGCAUAGCAGUUAAUGUCCAAAAUGAGGGUGGUGACACACCAUUACAUCUUGCGGCCAAACGUGGUCAUGUUUCUGUAGUAGAAUGUCUUCUCACUUCUGGACAUUCGUUGGAACCAAAGACGAAU